This 2686-nucleotide long non-coding RNA is filed under the name Salmo salar (Atlantic salmon). RNAcentral's name for it is "lncRNA (ENSSSAG00000117972.1)". The record is from RNAcentral. Lineage: Eukaryota; Metazoa; Chordata; Actinopteri; Salmoniformes; Salmonidae.
CAGACAUUUUCAAUAUGAUUAAUUAAACUUUUAUUUCUCAUUCUAUAGACAACGAGGCUGAGUAUUCACAAUCUGGUUUGUUCUGUAUUAAAUCAAUUCAAAAGCAGGAUAAACCGGUGACAUCCGACAUACAAAUCACUGUUUGGAUGAGAAGUACGACAAGGUGAGCUACUGAGAGGGCUUCUACCGUUCCAUUCAACUGCAGAGUAGUGAUUAUCUGCAGGAUGGCACACGAGGACAUAGUCAUCGUGCUCACAGUUCCUCUGUGUGUGUGGGGGGGGAGCUUGGUAGAGAGCUGGUUGGAGCUUGGUAGAGAGGAAUAAGAAGAUUUAACAGCCUCGGGUGAGCCAUAUGUAUGGGUCUUCCAUGGGGCUCCAAAGAGACACGUCCAUGUAUUCAUCACAGUGAAUGAUCGACAUCACUAAGGCUCUCCUUUGCUGGUGAACAGCUAUGUGGAAGCAUCAUCAUGUAGCCCUGGGGCCCCACCUGGUCUGAGGAGAACAUGGUAGCACUAGGUGUUUGAGGAGGGGUGGGAGUCACAUUGACUUCUGAAGGGAUAUAAUCUGCAUCAUGAGGCCCUGGGCCAGGAGUCAUUGGCAUAUAACUGCCCGCCACUGAGGGUGUAUGUGUACUCUGGUGAUAGACAUGAAGGAAAGGGGGCUUGGAUGAGGUAUUUUUCACAUUUUGAAGCGCAUGAAGUGAUUUGGUGGUAUUGUCUGGAAUGUUCAGGGGUAGACUUUUUCCACACCGAAGAUCUCGCCAUUACCUUCAGAUCCAUGGCCACGUAGUCAGUCCGGCUGUUCUCUUCAAUGAGUGGGAGUCAGAGGUGUUACUGCUGGAGAACUGAAAGGCUGGGAGCCCAAAUCCUCAGCCCAGACAGAGCCUCUAUCAUUGGGAGAACCACAGACGGAGGGGCCAGAGGUGUGUAUCAGAGACAUUGCCACCGCUGCCGGAUACACUGGCGGGAAUGGUGGUGGAGAUGCAGGCACCGUGACUGAGGCUCUCUUCAAGGAUUUUAUUGAUGCAGACAUUACAGAGAGCCAAGGUGCCAGUCGCAGGGCUGAUCAGUUGUUAACCUGUCCCCUCUCCUUGGCUACAGGUUUGGUUAGGGCGGUGGCCUUCAUCUCUUUCACUUUUCUGUGGGGACAGUUUGCUUACAACAGUUUCAGUCCCUGAGGACCGCUGGAGCCCAGUCCGUCUGGGUGGCAGGUUGACAUGUUGAUGACGUCACGUGGUGACUACAGCGCAGGGGUUUGAUGGGAAUGAUUGACUCUUGCUCCGCGGCCUGAAAUCAGGGAUGGCCGCCAGCGCUCUCACGGCCACCAGGAUUGUCUUGUGCAUGUUCUGAGCCACUACAGGGUCACCUGAGUCUACCUGCAUCCAGAUCUCCGCGGGCCCAGUAGAGGAUCGAGCGACCCACCUCAAUAAAGAAGAAGCACUCGGGAGUGACCACAGCGAAAGACAUUCAUCAUAGGCAGGUUGACAGACAGCAUCUCUUGGCAGAGAGACACAGCCCCGUUAGGUUCUUGGUUUGAAGAUGGUGCCAGGAGAGAUUGUCCAGCAUCCAUAAUUCAACUCCUCAGUGUCCUGGUGCUGAUUUUUCUCCUAGAUACUCAGGUCAUUCAGAGCCAGGUACCUAUCCUCUUGCUCCUCUGCAUUCUUCGCUCUCAUGAUAAAGUUCUCGUCCUUAGUGUACAGGCCUAUCAGGUGCUUGUGUUUAGAAUCUCCCCUCUUACUAACAGUGAAACAUUGAUACUGAUCAAUUACCUUCUUAGGAGAACUCACAGCACUGAGAGAUUUCAAAAUGAAUUGUACUCCAAGCGUGCAGUGUUGUUUCCUCUAGCUAAAGGGCCCACGCUCAAGCACGGUGUGACGAAACCAACCAAAUGCAAUUCCACUUCCAUUUAUUUGAGAUGCAGAUAAUAAUGCUCUCUCUGAUCAGCUUCUCCGUGUUAGAGGAGUACUGCUCCAGAAUCCACAGCACAGAGUCUAGAAUGUUGGUCUCCCUCCCUUUUUGUUAAUGUUCUUAAACUGGGACAGCAUAGUGGAGGAGGGUUACCGGUACUCACCUUCUGGAUGAUAUUUGACAGACAGGAAGAGAGCAUUGGGACCAUGCGUGCAACAGACAACGUGUAUGUACACAUUCAAAUGAAGCCUGAAUCACUCACGCAUAUUAAACUAAACUGUUAAACCUGUUUUUGAUUGUGUCGGGGGUUGUGAUUGGAUGAGUGAUCCCUACCUUCAGCAGACAGGUCAAGCAUAUAGUAGGGAGUUGUUGCUGCUAUUACCAGCUGUUAAAAAAAUUGCAAUAUGUGGAAGGUACUGUACCUAAUACAGUACUAGUGUCACACCCUGAUUUGUUUCACAUGUCCUUGUUAUUGUUUCCACCCUCUCCAGGUGUCACUUAUUUUCCCCAGUGUAUUUAUCCCUGUGUUUCCUGUCUCUCUAUGCCAGUUUGUCUUGUAUUUUUCCAAGUCAACCAGCAUUUUCCCUGAUCUCCUGCUUUUCGCUAUUGACCCUUUUUCUAGUCCUCCCGGUUUUGACCCUAGCCUGUUUCUGGACUUUGUACCUGCCUGCCUUGACCACGAACUUGCCUGCCACUCAGUACCUCCUGGACUCUGAUCUGGUUUUGACCUUUUGCCUGUCCACAACCAUUCUCUUGCCUACUCCUUUUGGAUUAAUAAAC